RNAcentral lists this long non-coding RNA (1194 nucleotides) under Homo sapiens (human). Its description in RNAcentral is "HSALNT0049234". The record is from RNAcentral. Lineage: Eukaryota; Metazoa; Chordata; Mammalia; Primates; Hominidae.
GGGAUUCCCGGGCAGAGGUCAGAGAGAGAGGCAGGAGCACAGGGUCUGGGCUUGCGCGUCUCCUGCUUUCUUAUGCGGGAGACAUCUGCUUCCCUCACGGGCAUCCCAUUGCCCUUCCACACCAAGUGCCUUCCCCUGGGCUCCUGUUCCUCUCCCCUCCUCUCAUUCCUUGCGGCUUCUGGGUGGUAACAGCAGCAAAUGGUGCCACACGGUUGCCCAAGGACUGUGAAGGUGGCUAGUUGCAAAGGUGUAGGUUAGGUGGUGGGAACCAGAAUGGGGCUUACCAGGUGAUUGCAACCCCGUGGGAAGCAACCUCUGUGUAAAACCCCGUGGCCUUUUUUGUUGUUGUUUUUCUUUUGAUACAGAGUCUCGCUCUGUCGGCCAGGCUGGAGUGCAUUAUCCAGAGCUGUUGGACAAAUCCAGAGCUGUUAUUGUACCUUCAGGUCAUGUGGAAUGGAAGAUGCUAUGGAAGCUGAUUGGAACUGUGAGGAACUGAAAUCAUCUCCACCUGGAGCAAUUAAACAUGGACCUUGGAAGCCUUGCCUUUGAGAGGCCCAGGGCAACCUGUCCUACCUACCAGCUGCCCCAUCAGGGGGUAAUCCACUGAUCACCUCCCUCUGUUGGCACAGCAAUCCUGACACCUACAUCUGUGGGGCAACCUUCCCUAUCACCUGCACCUUUUGGAAUUUUGACUCCACCGUGGAGCCUAAGUGAAGCAUGGAGUCUGGGAAAACAAAGCAGAAGCCACUUAUUUGAAGAAAGAGAAAAUCCCACCCAUCCUUUCACCGUGAACCUGGAGUCCCACGGCUAGCUGCUUAGCUGGCUGCACUGUCGCGUUAAAUAGUUUCCCUGGAAGAGAAAUUGUCCUCUUAGAUUUUCAUUCGUUUUGUUGUUUCCUGUGGAUUUUGGGGAGAGGAGGAGCAUCUCCCCUGCACAGCUGCAAACUCAGGUUAGCUGGGUUAUACUCCUGUGCCGGAGCUUGCAGCAGGUGAUCAGGCCUGUGUACAUGAGGCUGUGGAGAGGCAGGGUGGGUACUGGGGCCAGGGGACUUCCAGGAAAUAAAGCUCCUACCUGAAAUGAUAAACAGAGGAAUAUAGUUUAGCCAAUUAGAGAGAAAUUAUUUCUAAAAACUCAAUAAAAUGUAGUUUAACCUUUCUCUCAUUUUCUGGUUUAUUCAUUUGAAUUUUAACUCUU